Molecule: ribosomal RNA, 201 nt
Filed under: uncultured bacterium
Lineage: Bacteria
Description: partial 16S ribosomal RNA
Rfam family: Bacterial small subunit ribosomal RNA
Source: RNAcentral
GCAGGCUGCAACUCGCCUGCAUGAAGUUGGAAUUGCUAGUAAUCGUGGAUCAGCAUGCCGCGGUGAAUACGUUCCCGGGUCUUGUACACACCGCCCGUCACACCAUGGGAGUUUGUAACACCCGAAGUCAGUAGUCUAACCGUAAGGAGGACGCUGCCGAAGGUGGGAUAAGCGACUGGGGUGAAGUCGUAACAAGGUAGC